GGUCAUAUAGCUCAGCGGUAGAGCACUACGUUGACAUCGUAGGGGUCACAGGUUCGAUCCCUGUUGUGACCACCA
RNAcentral lists this transfer RNA (75 nucleotides) under Holosporales bacterium. RNAcentral's name for it is "tRNA-Val". It matches the Rfam family "tRNA". Rfam says of the family: Transfer RNA (tRNA) molecules are approximately 80 nucleotides in length. Their secondary structure includes four short double-helical elements and three loops (D, anti-codon, and T loops). Further hydrogen bonds mediate the characteristic L-shaped molecular structure. tRNAs have two regions of fundamental functional importance: the anti-codon, which is responsible for specific mRNA codon recognition, and the 3' end, to which the tRNAs corresponding amino acid is attached (by aminoacyl-tRNA synthetases). tRNAs cope with the degeneracy of the genetic code in two manners: having more than one tRNA (with a specific anti-codon) for a particular amino acid; and 'wobble' base-pairing, i.e. permitting non-standard base-pairing at the 3rd anti-codon position. The record is from RNAcentral. Lineage: Bacteria; Pseudomonadati; Pseudomonadota; Alphaproteobacteria; Holosporales.